CCUACGGGAGGCAGCAGUGAGGAAUAUUGGUCAAUGGACGAGAGUCUGAUCCAGCCAAGUAGCGUGAAGGAUGACUGCCCUAUGGGUUGUAAACUUCUUUUAUAUGGGAAUAAAAUGUUCCACGUGUGGGAUUUUGUAUGUACCAUAUGAAUAAGGAUCGGCUAACUCCGUGCCAGCAGCCGCGGUAAUACGGAGGAUCCGAGCGUUAUCCGGAUUUAGUGGGUUUAAAGGGAGCGUAGGUGGAUUGGUAAGUCAGUUGUGAAAGUUGGCGGCUCAACCGUAAAAUUGCAGUUGAAACUGGCAGUCUUGAGUACAGUAGAGGUGGGCGGAAUUCGUGGUGUAGCGGUGAAAUGCGUAGAUAUCACGAAGAACUCCGAUGGCGAAGGCAGCUCACUGGACUGCAACUGACACUGAGGCUCGAAAGUGUGGGUAUCAAACAGGAUUAGAUACCCCAGUAGUC
Molecule: ribosomal RNA, 460 nt
Filed under: uncultured bacterium
Lineage: Bacteria
Description: partial 16S ribosomal RNA
Rfam family: Bacterial small subunit ribosomal RNA
Source: RNAcentral